Taeniopygia guttata (zebra finch) is the source of this 8790-nucleotide non-coding RNA. Lineage: Eukaryota; Metazoa; Chordata; Aves; Passeriformes; Estrildidae. The record is from RefSeq and is a predicted model, not a curated record.
CCACAGAUUCUGACACACCAGUCUGCCGAAACCCCUGGGAAUGCCCCACAGAGCCACUCACAGCCCUGUGAUGGGGCUUUUGGAAAGGCACAAGGACAAGCUCUGUGCCCAGCUGGGGGCCUGCAAACACUAAGCACAACUGCAUCUCUUAGAUUGGUCACACCUUCCUAGAUAUGCAUCUGUUUGAUAACAAACAUUCAGGUCUAGCUGGGACAGAGCUGGAAAUACAGCAAGGACUGGGUACCUGGUGAUCAUCCCUCCAGCAGGUCUUGAGAUCACACCCAGUAUGAAAGUAAAACUUGGAUGGCUUUUUGGUGUUACUGUGCUCUUGGCUUUGAACUUCACACUUCUGUCUCCUCUUCCUUCACACCAACGUCUUCUCUCAAGCCUUUAGUACGGAGCAGUGCCAGACCCCUGCUAAUUUCUGGUGUUGUGCAUAAUUUUCCAUCUUUUUAGCCCAUUUUUGAGGUAGACAGCAAGCCCUCGAGGUGGGGACUUGCGUCAUCUAUUAAAAAAAUCCACUCGGUAAUUAUUUAUGAUUCGUUUAUUGUAGCAUUUGUGUAUAUUUUUUAAUAACAGUUAUGGACCACAAAUGUGGAGCAGACAAAAAGAUUCAUGUUGUCAGGCAGACUGAAAGGGAUUUUGCAGACUACAUGUGUUGUCAAAUACCUCCAUCAGUGGACAAAUUUACUGCACAUCUAAAUUCAAAUCAAGCCAGGGCAAACCAGUUCCCUUUUCUGUGAAUUGGUUAGCCACAGUUAUUUGAACUGCAUCAAACAAGCUGACAUGGAACUGUUUGGCCUGUUGGUUUUACAUGUAGCUGUCUUUACUCUGUUUAAGAGUAAAAGUGAAAGGUCUGAGAUAGGUUGGGGUCUUUUUUCUUCAAAUAAAGCAUUUCCUUGUAAAGAAUUAAUUGACUGAAUGUGUUAAAAAAAGUGCCCCUCAAACAGGUGAAUUUUAUUUUUGAACUAGAAGAAUGCCAGGAUCCAGUUGUUCAUUUAUAAUUCAGCACUAAGCUAAAGAAACAAAGGCAGAAAAUGCAUAGUUGUAAAUCAUGCUUGCAGCCACAGAACAAUAUAAUGCCGAGCAGCCAUUUUAGGUUUUUGGUUGCUUUAUACCCUUUCUACAUAAUGAAGCCUGUUAAAUGAAUCCUUAUGGGAAUUGUUCCCAAGGUUUGUGUUUUGUAUAUGAAAUUCCAAGUACAAGAGUUUAAUUUUGUGAGAUAAAUUAUUCUGUAAAAAUUUGUUCAAGGUACUCUUUUUUUGAAAAGGCUACUUGCUUUCUAGAUAUAACAACAGCUUUAUCCUUUUUAAUAAAAUGCAAACCCAAUAUGUCUGGAAAAAAUAUUUCAAUGGAAUUAUUUCUGUCAGAGGGAAUAAAGGUGGCAACUGCAAAUCCUAGUGUAUUUUACUCAGAAGAAUUCCUAGAUAGUCUAUAGCUAAAUACAUGGACCAGAUCUUCCUUUCUCUUCUAUUAUGGAAAUCUCAGAAAGAAAUAAAGUGUUGCUGUUUCACUUCAGUCUUCAAAGUGAAGCCCUAACAAUGGAUGGAGCAGAGGCUCCACUCAGUAAAUGUGUGUAAUUCUAGCCCACUUUUUUACCUUAAUGCUUUUUUUGAUGAAAUUAUCACACUCUCUCUUCCAAAAAUUUGCUUGUGGAUAGAUGUAUUAUUUUUCUCAGUGGGAAAUAAUCCAGGUGUCCAAUCAGCCCAAAGGUUGUGCACUCAUAAUUUCUAUUUAAGUCAAUUAGAACAGUGCAGAUGUCUCUUCUAUUUGAUGAUUUGCUUCCAGAGAAAGACUGGAGAAUUAAUUAAAAUACACAAUCUAAUUGAACGGAAAAUCAUAAAAUUUUGUUUCUAGGAAACAAUUUGUGAGUACAGGGGAUCUAAAGUUGUGCAUUAUAUCUAAGUAGAGAACAUAUCAUCUCAAGCCACUCCACCAAAGUUUGAGUCUGAGGUCAGUUUUCAGACUGCGAGUCUAAUUUAGUUUCAGAAUGGAGCUUAAGGUUCCCAACAUCCAGAGACCUGGGUGGGGGCACAGGGGGGCAAACAUGUGAUUUUGGUUCCAGUUAAUUUCAGAUUUAUUUCUGUUUAGCAGAUCAGUUUUCUCUUUCUAAAAGUGUUUUCAUUUUGGCAGACUCCUCAAAUGAAAGGCUUAUUUCAAGAUGUUUCCUGUUGAGUAACUGCUGCUGCUGAGAGGUAAAGGGAGACAUACACAGUGCUGAAGGGAACGUAUGGAAAUGUCAUGGCAAUGACAGGCACGAGGCCAAAGGCUGCCAUUAUCUUUCCUUCCAUCCCAGAGGAGCUAAGCAGGAGUGCAGAGGGAGAACAUGCUACAUGGCAUUAGCAGAUCCAUCCCUCCAGCCUUUUGGGUGCUGCCAGCCAGAAUAAAGGAGAAGAGACAAUGAAGAUAAAAUCUUGGAUGCUUAAGACGAAUUUUUAAAAUUGCUUUGUGGAUUAACAGGAUUGUCUCUGCUGUUACGUUUAAGUCCCCUGAAUACACUUGGACAAGCCUUUUCCUGGUUCUUACAACCAGCCGGAACUCCUUGGUACAGUUGCUGUAAGAAGGCAGUAGCUGGAGAGAAAUCAUUAAACAAGUGAGGUCAGUAUCUCAGGAGAGUCUGUCUGCAGAACUUUGUAGGUAAAACAUCAGCUAUGGAAAAUUUUCAGCUUUUGAGGAAAACCUGUUGUGAAGGACUAAGCAAAGGUACACACAGCAGGAUAUAGGAAGAGAAAAAUGUUUUUGACUGCUUGGGAGCCCUCACAGAAACCAAUAAGAUGUCCAAAAGGUCUAAGAAUUUGAGGGAGAAAUGCUUGUGAAGCGGAGCAAUUUUGUGAAUUGCAGCUGGCUUCACAGAAUCCUUAGAUGAGGAACAAAAAAUGCAAGGCAGUCUCUUGUGUUCUAAUUUAAAGUUAUUAAUUAAUGCAUUUUGAACCACUUUUUUUGGUGCAAAGGGAUCCUAAUUAUAGUGUAAAAUUCAGAUGUAAUUGAUGUAAAAGAUCUUCAUGUAAAUGAAAAGAUGAGCUGCUGUGUUUGAAACUGAAGGGAAGAAGAAAUGCCCUGUUGUAAGGUCACAGUUUAUGUGGGUCGAAGUCUCAGCUGAUUUAUGUUAAAGGUUAACUCACACAGAGAGAACAUGUUCAGGUACUUGUGUAGCAGAUGAACCAGCACUGCUCUCCUGGGUGAGGCUAUAAUGCAGUGAUAACAAAGGUAACUUGCUUAUUUCUGUGACUUAGAAGAUUCAUUCCAAAAAUUGCAUGAAAAUGCUACAAAUUAAGAGCUUCGUAGAGGAAAGCUCAUGGAUUUAGCUGUGCUCAAGAAGGACUCUUGUGUCCAAGACCUUCCUGCAGCCUAUACCAGGCUUUCCUCAGUGAUCUGAAUGUAAGUGGAGGCAGGAGCACCUCUUUCUUAGUUAACAUAUGAAUGCAACCAGAAUUUGUUUAUUAGGGUGAAAUUUCCUACAUCUCUGUACAAGUCACAGACCAGGAUUCCAAAGCGAUGCUUUUAGUCCCAUUUUGUUCAGCUUCAAAGGCAUCACUUCUUGUGGUGUGCUUUGACCUAACAUCAUCUGAUUCAUGCAUGAAAUCCCCCUGUAGUUCCCUGGGCUAGUUCAUCUUCUGAGCUUUACCAGCUCCUCUCCCUUCCUAAGCAAAGCCUGGAAAGGGAGAGGGGUCCCUUCCAGCCUGCUCUGAGUUACCACAAGUGUGGUCAGCCCCAAAGGACCAUUAUGAGGCAGGAAUCCCUGUGCUUUGGUGGGACAGGAGGAGCAUAUCUGCUUUCAGCUGUCCUCUGGACACUCCAGCUGUUCCAGGCUAUGGAGAAGAAUGUGAAGUUUGUGACGGUUUUUGUCAAAUGAAUCUUAUAAUGUGUCUUUUUUAAAACUCCUUUUGAGUUUUCUGAUGAGGUUAAGAGAUGCAGGGCAAUGCACAGCAGCUUUAUCAGAGUAAGUAACUGGCCUCCUUUGGUUUUAAAGCCAAAAUUAAACUGCUAAAUGCAAAGCCCACCUCUACAAUGGCAGACUGACUUUGGCAUUAUAUUUUCUCUGGAUUUGGUUUAGAGUAAUGUUGUUAUGUUUAGAGUAAUGUCUAUGAAACAUGAUUAUAUGGUAAUUCCUUUAAAAAAAAAUUAAUUCCCUGCCUUUAUAGAUCAAUGACUUGUUCUUUUCUCAGGACAAAUACUGAUGAAUUCAUACAAGGUUUUAUCAAUUUUUUAGCAUUGUAACAUCACCACCUUCUUGCUGAAGCCCUGUUUAAUUUCCUGCUCUUGUUCUCGGCUGUUGCUCCAAAGGAGCACACAAGGAUUGCCCCUGCUGCUGGGUUUUAGGAAUGGGCUGGCAAUCUUGCAGAUUCCCAUUCAGUUGUGCAUUUUUCACCUUAUCCAUCACUUCUUGUGGAAAGAGAUGGGCAUCUUAUCUUCCUAGCAUUUUUAUCUGAACAUGUUUUUACCAACACAUUGGCUCAUAUUUGUAGAAUCACAGAACCCUAGGAUGGUUUGGGUUGGAAGAGACCUUAAAGACCAUCUAGUUCCAACCCUGUGCCUUAGGCAGGGACACCUUCCACUACAGCAGGUUGCUCAAAGGCCUGCCUAAAUUGGCCUAGAACACUUCCAGGGAUGGAUGCCAAGAUCCAGGUGCAGGACCUUACACUUGGCCUUGUUGAGCUUCAUAAAGUUCACGUGGGCCAGCCCAAUUCUGUCAAGGUUCUUGUGGCAUCCCUUCCCUCCACACGUUGACAGCACCACUCAGCCUGUGUCCCCAGAGAAUGUGCUGAGGGUGCACUGAAUCCACGGUUCCUGUCCCUGACAGAGAUGUUAGACAGCAUCAAUCCCCAUACUGACCCCUGAGGAGCACCACUCAUCACUGGUUUCCACUUGGACAUUGAGCUGCUGACCUCAGCUCUUGCAGAGUGACCAUCCAGCCAGUUCCUUAUCCACCAACUGCCAACUUCACCAGACUGCCACAAUUCCUCAAAUAUGAUGGAUAGUGGCUUAGCCACUUCAUCCACUGGUGCCCGCAGGCAUGCCCAUGGAUGCAUCUCAUCAGGUCCCAUGGAUUUGUACAGCUUCACGAUCCUUAGAUGCUCUGGUACCUGUUCUUCCCUUACACUGUGUUGUUCUUCAUUCCAUUUGCCUUCUGUGACUUGGCUGGUGUGGCUGGAGCCCCUGCUGGUGAAAAUGGAGGCAAAAACAUCAUUGAGACCUCACCCUUCUCCAUGUCCCACCUGGGUAAUCAGGUCUUCCAUUUCCUUCUGAAGAUGGCCCACAUUUUCCUUGGUUUUUCUUUAAUCAUCAAUGUACCUAUAGAAGCCUUUUUUAUUCUCUUUGAUGUCCCUGGCCAAGUUUAAUUCCAUCAGGGUUUGGCUUUCAUAAUCUGACUCCUGGCUACAAUUCUGUCUAUAUUCCUUCCAGGCUACCUGUUCCUGCUUCCACCCACUGUAGGCUUCCUUUUUCUGUUUGAUUUUGUCCAGGAGCUCUUGGAGGCUUUUACGGAUGAUUUUAUGAAUAUACCAACCCUAUCAGAUGCUAAUAGUUAUGGCUGUAACCAGUUUAGGAUGAUUCUAAACCAUGAACAGGUAACCAAUGAAAGGGUUUUAUUUCUUUGCAGAUAUGCCAAUACCCUAGUACAGUUGUUUUAAUAAUAAUAAUUUUAAACAUUGCAAAGCUGGCAUUUCCCCUUCACCCACUGGUGUAGUCACAGCAGAAUGAAUGGAUCAUUGUUAGAAGAGUCAUUUCCCUGCACAAAGCAACCUCUGUUCACAAUUGUAAGGUUAGAAAUGUUCAACCAGUCAUGACAUUUAAAUAAAAUGAUUGUCUGAGCAUCUCUUGGGGUUACAAAUCAUUCUCUCUCCAGCUGGUGCUACCUGUCCUUUAUUAGAAAUCUACAGAAUCUUUAAGAUGAACAACAACUCUAAUGGAAACAGUCUCUUGAAAUAUGAUUUAUCUUCCCAUGUUCAGAAGCAAAGAGCAGUUGUUUGUACCUUGAAUAAAGAUAUUAGUUUUGUUUCCAGGACUAGAGACAUGGGAGGAAGCUUAGAACAAAACCACAAAAAUGUCAGUGGAAGCUUUUGAGAAACUGAGCUAUGGGAACAAUGAAAAUUUUUGGUUAGUGUCAGAGAGCAGUUGAUAUUUUGGGGAUAGUUGAUGUCUGAAGAAGUCUAUGAUAAAAUUUACAGCUAUUUAGAAGAGAAAAAAAAACAGGAAAUACAGAAUUUAUCUAGACACAGUAAGCCUAAGAGAAACAAGGGAAGUUUUACAAAGAAGACCUUCUGACAGUAAAAUGUAUUCCAGAUAGUAGAAGGUUGUUUUUUGAAAACUCUGAAAAAAAUCUGGUGGGGAAUUUUUAUUGGUCUUUUCCUACCUCUACUUAUUUACACGCUCCAGAGGAUGAAUCCUUUCUUAUUAACCAGUAAGAAAGCCCAGCAUUCAGCAAGGAUUUGAAAGUAGAGUCUCCAGCAGUACAUUUUAAUGAGUGGUAUUCUUGGAAAGCACUCAGUUGACCAUAGUAGCUGAAUUCCUGACUGCAGCACACCAGUCAGUGUCAAACACUCGGGAUAAGUUGUUUAGAAAUAAACCCGUGACACAGGAAAUAGAGUAAGAGGUGGUUCUGUGCUGUCUGAGGGUGGAAGGAGCUGGAGAAAAUCCAUCACUGUUUAUGUGGUUGUAUUUGUGACACAUGGGAGCUGAACUAACAGCGGAAGUGGAGAAUAAAUAAAUACUCAGCAGAGAGAGUGAUUAUGGUUAAAAUACAGAUCCCUAGUCCUGGAAGUGUGACCUAGGGCCAGUUGCAAGGAAUUCAUUCUCAUUGAUUAUUUUAUAGAGUAUAUCUACAUUCUGAAAUAACUUCUAGCUAGUUAUAGUAAUAAUAAUGGCAUGUGUUAGUGUUGUAAUCUCUUAAGAGCUCACAUGUCUUUUUAUAGAAACAUUAAUUCUUUUGGCAAAAAAAAUUUGUGAUGUUCUUUCUAAAAUACUGAGGAAGAAUAUUUUUGCAACUGCUGCUUUGUAUAUUUUGGGUCUCAUGCAUGAUUUAUCACUUACUAAAUUUGAAAUCCAAAUUAUGGAACUGGCUAUAGCUAUUGCCAGAAAGCAGAAUCUGCAGUGCUGGAAAAGGACUAAAAAGGUUAUCAUCUGACUAAGCUGCAACCUUUCCUGGAACAAUAUUUGUAUUGUAGGUUACUAACAGCUUUGCAAUCCACAGGUGCUCACUCACAAUAGCAAAAGUGUUGUAAUUCAUCUAUAAUCAGGACAUUAUUUUUACUGCAAGUUAUUCCGACUUUGCAGUCAAUGGAAACUAACCAGCUAUAGUAAAAGUGUUGUCAUUCAUCUAUAACUGGGACAGUACUUCCAUCGUAAGUUAUUCCAACUUUGUAGUGAAUGAAAACUUACCAGCAAUAGUAAGUGUGUUGUCAUUCAACUAAAAUAGAAGGGAGGAGAAAGGAGAAAGAUGGACAAAAUGCAGAAUGUAUCUGCAAUGGAGUCUGAGUAAAAUAACCCCACGGUAGUGCAAGGUAACGUUAAGUUGGUGAAAUUCAGUACAGGCUUCCAACUGAAAGGCUACACCAUUUCCUUUGGCAUCUGCCCGCCUAAUCUCAGACAGCAUAAAGGGGUACAGUGCAGUGAAUGUGCUCUGGUGAAUUCAAACCUCAGCUGGGGUUGUAGAAGCUGCUUGCAGAGCUCAGUGCACUUUAAAGUAGAGUAAGUAAGAUAAGUAAUACCUGAGGAUUUAAAGCUGCCAUAGACAUGGGAGACUGCAGUGUAGACAUCCCACACAUAGCUCUUCUGGGCAAGAAGCCUGGCCUUUUUUAUGCUACAAGAGCACUGUAGGUACCUAACAAUUAUUAAUAAUAACUAAUUAAUAAUGCUCCAAAUCCUUGGCUGUGAUUGAGUACCUCAGAGAAUAACUCACCUAGAGUUGUAAGAAAAGAUGGCUCAAAACAAUCUUAACUAAAUCCUGGGCCAGCUUUGUGCCUUGACUUUGCUCCAGCAAAAGAUAAAGCAGCAGAGUACAAUUUGUUCUAAGACAUUAGCAAGGGAGAGAGAAGGACAUAAUGAAUACAUUUGAUUGGUAAUGCAUAAGAAGUGGUGGCAAACAAGACUAUUAGGGGAUAAGAGUAUAAAAUUAGAUGGAAAGGAAGAGAUGAGAUUGGUCAAUUCCACUGGUCCUAAAUCAACAUUUCAUCUCAGAAACCACAAAAGUCAGCAGCUGAGUGGAGGCGAAUGAAAGACUAGGGUCAAAACAACAAUCAUAAUUUAUCUGAGUGUCAGAAAAGCAUUUUUACACUAAGUACACAACACAUCGAUUUACACUUGAUAGACAGUACUUACACAAAAAGAUACUUCAACCCUCACUGAAUAGCUUGCAGCACAAUACAAAUUCUUUUCAUGGUAAACCUAGGGGGGAAAAACAAACCCUUUUUAUACAAGGAAUUUUCACUUAAGUAUUUGAGUCUACUGGGAACAGCCUGAAAGACACAUACCAUACUCCCCACUCACAUCUACCCAGGCUUGUGGUUCGAUGUGCUGAUGCUGUUUGACAGUGUGGGGGGCACUUUUAGGAACCUUGGUGGAAAGAAGCACGGCAGAAAGCUUCAGCUGCUGUUUUCAUUCCUCUUUGGAGGUGCCUGACGGAAGAUCUAGGAGUUGUUUACUUGUACAACGAGGAGCAGAGUAUGCUGAUAGGAAGACCAAGUUUCACCUUUGGUAGUCAAAGGACUGUGUUUGAUAGCAAAAGAUUUGCUUCCUUUGCUGGUGAUGUUGUUUUGCCUUUUUUACAACAUAAUAAAAGUAUUAUUCCUUUAA